Lolium perenne is the source of this 672-nucleotide non-coding RNA. NCBI's taxonomy places the organism in Eukaryota, Viridiplantae, Streptophyta, Magnoliopsida, Poales, Poaceae. The record is from RefSeq and is a predicted model, not a curated record.
UCUGGCGUCGUAUCCUAUGAAUCCCCAACUUUCCUGUAUCCGUGCAUCCGGCUAUCCUCGUCCACCAGGUCUGGAUCGUGUGCGUCUGCUCAUUCCAAGGCGGCGACUGCGACGACCGCGAUGAGCUUAGCGGUUCACUUGACGGCGACGGCGAUGAGGUCGGCACCAAGUCUGCGAGACGCAUCUCCAGUGAAAAUCCAUCCACGCUCGCCGUUGCCGGAGUCGAGUCGCCUCUCGACGGCUUCGAUGUGAUCUGCGGUGCCUAUACAGGUCUAUGGGAGCCGCAUGUGGCGCAGGUCCUCAUUCUCGCCGGUCCCUGACGCGGAGGACGCCGGCGUCUGCAGCCUCCGCACCAAUGGCGUCUUGAGGGAGCCCCACCUGCUCCUGAAGAUGCCGGCCUGCUGCUGACUCGCGUGAGCUGCGACCACAGAAGAGGAUAGCUUCAUAGCUUGGGAAAUUGGCCGGCUACAGGCUCUGAAUUUUCAUUGUUCUUGUUUACUGUAUCUAGUACUUGCAAAGUGUAACUCUGUAAGUUGCUGUGAAUGGAAAUUUGAGAAAGAACAGGUCAUACAUAUUUUUUAAUAUGUUAACAAAACCAAAUGAUUUAUACAAGGGAAAAGUGUAACUCAAGGUUGAGAACAUAUGGAAGUUCAGAGUGCUGAAACAACUACU